UACGUAGGGCGCGAGCGUUGUCCGGAUUUAUUGGGCGUAAAGGGCUCGUAGGCGGCUUGUCGCGUCGAUAGUGAAAGCCCGCGGCUUAACUGUGGGUUUGCUGUCGAUACGGGCAGGCUUGAGGUAGGUAGGGGAGAGUGGAAUAUCCGGUGUAGCGGUGGAAUGCGCAGAUAUCGGAUGGAACACCGGUGGCGAAGGCGGCUCUCUGGGCCUUACCUGACGCUGAGGAGCGAAAGCGUGGGGAGCGAAC
RNAcentral lists this ribosomal RNA (250 nucleotides) under uncultured bacterium. RNAcentral describes it as "partial 16S ribosomal RNA". It matches the Rfam family "Bacterial small subunit ribosomal RNA", at positions 524 to 773 of the family's 1533-position model. The record is from RNAcentral.